UGCCAGCCGCCGCGGUAAUACGGAGGGUGCAAGCGUUGUUCGGAAUUAUUGGGCGUAAAGCGCGUGUAGGUGGUUCGUUAAGUCUGAUGUGAAAUCCCAGGGCUCAACCCUGGAACUGCCUCAUAAACUAUCAGUCUAGAGUUCGAGAGAGGUGAGUGGAAUUCCGAGUGUAGAGGUGAAAUUCGUAGAUAUUCGGAGGAACACCAGUGGCGAAGGCGGCUUUCUGGACCGAUACUGACGCUGAGACGCGAAAGCGUGGGGAGCAAACAGGAUUAGCUA
RNAcentral lists this ribosomal RNA (279 nucleotides) under uncultured bacterium. RNAcentral describes it as "partial 16S ribosomal RNA". It matches the Rfam family "Bacterial small subunit ribosomal RNA", at positions 506 to 784 of the family's 1533-position model. The record is from RNAcentral.